UUCCCUCAUUCAUAUUGUUAUUUUGUAUCUAUGCAAUAUCUGGACGAUAAGUAUCCUCAACAUCCUUUGCUACCUAGUGAUAUUCACAAAAGAGCAAUCAAUUUCCAGGUACACCUGCUCUGUGUCAGUUAGUGGUUGCAAACUCUAAUGAAUGCGUUGCCUUCUAAGUUCUAAUCAUGUCAUCUCAUCCACAAGCUACCCACAUCGUUUCCUCGUCCAUACAUCCUCUUCAAAACAUAAGCUUUCUGAAUUACAUCGGGGAAAAAGUCGGCCCUGACGAAAAGCUUCCUUGGGUACAAGGUGUCCUUAGAAAGGGCUUCACAGCACUCGAAAAACUCUUGAAGGACCACAUGGGAAGAUAUGCAACGGGAGAUGAAAUCUCCUGG
Molecule: non-coding RNA, 386 nt
Organism: Arachis ipaensis
Lineage: Eukaryota; Viridiplantae; Streptophyta; Magnoliopsida; Fabales; Fabaceae
Source: RefSeq, a predicted model, not a curated record